GUCUAUGGCCAUACCACCCCGAAUGUUCCCAAUCUGGUCUGAGCUCAGAAGUUAAGCAGUGUUGGGCCCAGUUAAUACUUAGAUG
RNAcentral lists this ribosomal RNA (85 nucleotides) under Carlito syrichta (Philippine tarsier). Lineage: Eukaryota; Metazoa; Chordata; Mammalia; Primates; Tarsiidae. The record is from RNAcentral.